This 70-nucleotide transfer RNA is filed under the name Camelus bactrianus (Bactrian camel). It matches the Rfam family "tRNA". From Rfam's summary of the family: Transfer RNA (tRNA) molecules are approximately 80 nucleotides in length. Their secondary structure includes four short double-helical elements and three loops (D, anti-codon, and T loops). The record is from Rfam by way of RNAcentral. Lineage: Eukaryota; Metazoa; Chordata; Mammalia; Artiodactyla; Camelidae. RNAcentral also lists the same sequence under 2 other names.
GGAGGGAGCUCCGUGGUAGAGCACAUGCUUAGCAUGCACGAGGUCCUGGGUUCAGUCCCCAGAACCUCCA